Molecule: long non-coding RNA, 1164 nt
Filed under: Felis catus (domestic cat)
Lineage: Eukaryota; Metazoa; Chordata; Mammalia; Carnivora; Felidae
Description: lncRNA (ENSFCAG00000047187.1)
Source: RNAcentral
AUGGGGUUUAUCCGUGUCGAAGUGUUCAAUUCCUUCAAAAGGUUCUUUAAAAAAAAAAAAAAAAAAAAAAUCGAAGCCCGCUGGCCCCCAGCCGCGCCGACGGGUAAGAAACCGGCGGCUGGAAACUGUGGGAGGUGGCUCGGGGCCAGGGCACGGACGGACAGCGGCUGCGACCCCACGGCUCCUGGAAGAGGACGCGCUGACGGGGACCCAAGCGGACCGGGGCGGGCUCCUCCCCAGAGGAUCACGACCGGCGGCGCGCGGCGUCCCCCGGGGCCUCUCCUCCCCGCGAGCGCGCCAGGGAAGGGCCCGCCGGCGACACGGGGGAGCGCGACGCCGCUCCGCGGUCCCCACAGAGCGACCGAGGAAGGGGCAGCCUCGCGGACUCCGACCUCGUACGCCCCCCGCCCGAGCCCAGGCCCGAGGCGCCGGGAGGGUGCGCUCCCGUCGCGGCGAGGACACCUGAGGAGACUCGCGGGCCGAAGCGUGUGGGGGAAGGGGGCCGGGACGCCGUCCCAUCCUCAUACCCGGUGGGCGGCGGGGCCGGGGGCGAGAGGGAUGGAAGGACCGGGCGCAGCCGAAACUGGAGGGUGGCCGGCGAGGCCCGAAGCCGGAGCGCGAGCGGAAGAUACCUGCCAAAACCUGGGGCCGGGGCGCCGGACAGCCUCCCUCGGCACGCUUCGAGGCCUCAGGCGGUUGCUCGCCACUCGCUCCGCAGCGGCACUACCAGCUCAGAGACCUCCCGCCAACCGCGAGCGAGGCCGGCGCGGGCCAAUCAGCGCACAGAGCCGCCGCCGGGGGCGGGGCCAGGCUGCGCGCGCCGCGUCCCCAACUCUAGCUGGAGCGUUCCAGCUCGAGCUCCCGCUGCACCUGCCUGCCGCCCCGCCAGCCUUCUACCAGGCCUUGCUAACCCUCGGGGCCGGACCCUGGCACAAGCCACCACCCUCCCAGAUCUCUUCUGGCCUCCGAAUUGAUCGCCUCUCCUUUGGACGCUCAUUGAAGUCUGGCUUGUAUCCGAGCGCUGUACCUCGUCUCCAGUUAGAUGGAGAAGCCCUGGGGGGCUGGGACUACAGGCCUUCCUUAACUCACUUCCACUUCACAGCACCAAGCGCGAUGCCUGCACACAAACACCAGCAGGUACUCGACAAAGAGAGAUGUCAAUAG